RNAcentral lists this ribosomal RNA (230 nucleotides) under uncultured bacterium. Its description in RNAcentral is "partial 16S ribosomal RNA". It matches the Rfam family "Bacterial small subunit ribosomal RNA", at positions 96 to 334 of the family's 1533-position model. The record is from RNAcentral.
UGGCGUACGGGUGAGUAACACGUGGAUAAUCUACCUCUGAGUGGGGAAUACCGCUGGGAAACCGGCGACAAUACCGCAUAAGCUCGAGAGAGGAAAGCGAUUUAACGAUCGCGCUGGGAGAGGAGUCCGCGGCCGAUUAGCUAGUUGGUAGGGUAAUGGCCUACCAAGGCUACGAUCGGUAGCCGGCCUGAGAGGGCACACGGCCACACUGGCACUGAAACACGGGCCAG